AAGUCGUAACAAGGUUUCCGAGGUGAACCUGCGGAAGGGAUCAUUAGAAUUUGAAGCCGUGGCCGAUCGAAAGUGAGGUCUCGGUGUCGUUCUCCUCGGAGGCGCAUUUCUAAACCAUGUGAAAACACCCGUUGCUUCGGCGGCUGCCGGUAGCCUCACCGCUGCCCGGCGUCAGCCCGUCGGUGGCUCCAACAAAACCAUUUUCUGUAAACUUUUGUCAGAAUACGAAAAAUUAAAUCGUUAAAA
RNAcentral lists this unclassified non-coding RNA (246 nucleotides) under plant metagenome. RNAcentral describes it as "partial contains small subunit ribosomal RNA and internal transcribed spacer 1". The record is from RNAcentral.